CCUACGGUAAGGGAUUGAGGAAAGAACUGGAGCAAAGAGGCACGAGAAGGAGGGAUUUGAAUUCGAAUUUGAGGGGCUAUAGUUUUGUGUGAGGAAGCUUUACACAGUUUGUGAAGGAACUGAGACUUGAACGUACUUGAAGGGAGAGAUCAAGUUGAGAGAUUAAAGGUUCGUGGUGAAAGUGUGAAGGAUUGAGGUGUGUAAGGCCUUCAUCAGAGUUGAGGAAACUGGGAGGUUCAAAAUACAAAAUAUUGUUCAUGGCUGGAGGUUAGGAGUAAGGAAUGAUACUGUUCAUGCACUGUGCACAAAACAUUGACAUUUUCACCCAAUUUGGCCGGUUUUUGUCCAAUUUCCGAUCCAAUUUUAAUGGUAUUAAAAUUUUCUCUUAAUUUAGAACCUAUUUAAAAAGUUUGAAGAAAUUUGAAACUCAUUAAGGACCCGAACCGACCAUCAAAGUAACAACCGAACUAAAUAAGUAGCACCUUGGAACUUCGGAUUAAGGUGAGCUUAUAGUACGUAUUGGAGCAUGUUAUAGGAAGCAUGAUACGAAAGUUCCCAACCGAAAUGAGCUAAUUUUAUUGAUAAUAAGCAUGAUGAACAGUAUGCUCAAUUUUUAUGAAAAUGACGAAAUAAACCAGAAAUGGAAUGAAAAUGAAAGAUGGUGAAGAUGUGUAAUUCGAAGAAUAUCCUAUUCUUUACCAUCUCUCCCUAUCAAUUACAGAGUUGUCGAAUUGGAAUACUGAAUCAUGGAAUUUACUCUUGAGGUGAAAUAUAUACUGCAUGGAAGUGGAUGAAUGGGCAUCUUUAUCCCACCUUUUGCAGAGUUACUCAGUCGGAGAAAGGGAACUGGUGGGUGUGAACUUUUCAGAAAAGUGGGACUUUAACCACAGGUUAUUUGACCAAACAGCUUGCAUCUACCGGCAAUAUGGUAAAAUUCAAAUUCUACAAACUAUUACGGAGGGGGCAAUCUCUCAAGGAUGUCAAGUUCCUUAUUUGAGAGCUAAGUCAUGCUUGCAUUAACACUUUGAAAAUCUCCAUGGAUUACAAUUUCUCCAAGUUGCUGCCACUUAUGUAUGAAGAAUCAUGAGACGAAUUCAUUUAUCUAGCCAGUCUACCUACAAUACAACAUUCUGGAACUUCUUACAAGAUGCCUUUGGUUGGAGUUUUACAAGACCAGGAGAUACUUUCACCCUCCUCAAUGCGUCCCUCAUCAGCCAUCCAUUCAAGAAAGAGACAAAGAUCCUAUGAAAGAGAUUAAUUUGGGCUUUCUAUUGGAGCUUAUGGCAGGAAAGAAAUGCACAGAUCUUCACAGAUAAGCAACAAAGCACCUAAACUUUGCAUAUAAUCUUUUCUUGCUUAAACAUGGAAAACGAUCUCUUGUCAUUUGUAACUAUAGU
Molecule: long non-coding RNA, 1397 nt
Organism: Cucurbita maxima (winter squash)
Lineage: Eukaryota; Viridiplantae; Streptophyta; Magnoliopsida; Cucurbitales; Cucurbitaceae
Exons: 3
Source: RefSeq, a predicted model, not a curated record